Molecule: long non-coding RNA, 772 nt
Organism: Carya illinoinensis
Lineage: Eukaryota; Viridiplantae; Streptophyta; Magnoliopsida; Fagales; Juglandaceae
Exons: 2
Source: RefSeq, a predicted model, not a curated record
UUUCGUGAUUCUGCAACUGGAGCAUAGAUGACCCAAAAAGGAUCUAACGUUCACACUUUGAAUAAUUUUCACCUAAAACCUAAUUAAUCAAUUAAAAGUAUGGUUAUUAAGAUUAUCCUCACAUGUGAGCUAUGGAUUUCUUUUCCAUCUCCAUCUUCAGUACAAUAAUUUGAAAAAAAUCUUAAGACCCGUUGUCAUCUUCUGACUAAAAAAUCUUGGUGCUUUCCUCUGUUCUGGUUCCAAAAUCCAUGAAACAACUCAAAAAACUUAUUUUUUUUUAAUAUAUUAUCUGCUUCUUUAUUUUUCAAUAGUCUUAUAUGAAUAAAAGAAAAAACCUUGUUCUUUUAGUAAUCUGAUCUCUAAUGGAAUUGCCAAUAGGAUUCCAACCCAGAUGAAGUUCCAACCAUUUGACAGGGAAAACGAACGAACUGAUUUUGUAGGAUUUCCAAGGAAUUAUCUGACAUCUUCCACCGGCGGAAGUUUGGUUUUAAGUGCAUUCGAUUUGAGCUACAUCAACAAUUUCAGAUCCCAAUGGAGUUCAACUGGGAAUAUUCAUUGCAGGAAAUUACAGCAGAGAGUUGGUUACACUUCACUUUCUCCGAUUAUAACAAUUUUGCCUGAGUCUAGUGACAACAACCAUAUGAUUGAUCUAGCAAAAGUCCAUUAGAUGGCGACCAACUCCUUUGUUGUUUUAGAUACCGAACUUACAAUUUAAAGACUUACUUGUACUCUUCCCCACUGCAAUGUUAUUACCAUACCGCAAGAUUCAAAG